UACGAAGGGUGCAAGCGUUGUUCGGAAUUACUGGGCGUAAAGCGCGCGUAGGCGGCUUAAUAAGUUGGAAGUGAAAUCCCGAGGCUUAACUUCGGAAUUGCUUUCAAAACUAUUAAGCUAGAGUAUGGCAGGGGACAGUGGAAUUCCUAGUGUAGAGGUGAAAUUCGUAGAUAUUAGGAGGAACACCGGUGGCGAAAGCGACUGUCUGGACCAUUACUGACGCUGAGGCGCGAAAGCGUGGGGAGCAAACAGG
Molecule: ribosomal RNA, 253 nt
Filed under: uncultured bacterium
Lineage: Bacteria
Description: partial 16S ribosomal RNA
Rfam family: Bacterial small subunit ribosomal RNA
Source: RNAcentral